GACGAACGCUGGCGGCGUGCCUAAUACAUGCAAGUGGGACGCAAGGGAACACACUGUGCUUGCACACCGUGUUUUCUUGAGUCGCGAACGGGUGAGUAACGCGUAGGUAACCUGCCUAUUAGCGGGGGAUAACUAUUGGAAACGAUAGCUAAUACCGCAUAAUAUUAAUUAUUGCAUGAUAAUUGAUUGAAAGAUGCAAGCGCAUCACUAGUAGAUGGACCUGCGUUGUAUUAGCUAGUUGGUAAGGUAAGAGCUUACCAAGGCGACGAUACAUAGCCGACCUGAGAGGGUGAUCGGCCACACUGGGACUGAGACACGGCCCAGACUCCUACGGGAGGCAGCAGUAGGGAAUCUUCGGCAAUGGACGAAAGUCUGACCGAGCAACGCCGCGUGAGUGAAGAAGGUUUUCGGAUCGUAAAGCUCUGUUGUAAGUCAAGAACGUGUGUGAGAGUGGAAAGUUCACGCAGUGCGGUAGCUACCA
This 481-nucleotide ribosomal RNA is filed under the name Streptococcus mutans. RNAcentral's name for it is "bacterial SSU rRNA". It matches the Rfam family "Bacterial small subunit ribosomal RNA", at positions 28 to 485 of the family's 1533-position model. Lineage: Bacteria; Bacillati; Bacillota; Bacilli; Lactobacillales; Streptococcaceae. The record is from RNAcentral.